Molecule: non-coding RNA, 25 nt
Filed under: Cricetulus griseus (Chinese hamster)
Lineage: Eukaryota; Metazoa; Chordata; Mammalia; Rodentia; Cricetidae
Source: RNAcentral
CAGUGAGACUAUGUAUCUGAAAACC